CCCGCUGAACUUAAGCAUAUUACUAAGCGCAGGAAAAGAAAACAACAGUGAUUUCCCUAGUAACGGCGAGUGAACAGGAAAGAGCCCAAGAUUGAAUCCGUGGUGGAAGGAACCUGAAACCAUGGAAUUGUAGUGCCAGGGGAGUGUGGCAAGGGUUAAGAGGUGCGGUUGAAUGGUCUGAAAAGGCCAAUCCACAGAGGGUUAUCGUCCCAUAUGUGCCGCACGUCCUUGAUCCAACAACGCUACUCUCUUCCAAGAGUCGUACAGUUUGGGAAUGCUGUGCAAAACCGCUGGUGUGCUUCAGCGAAGGCUAAAUAUUGCUUCGAGACCGAUAGCGAACAAGUAGUGUGAACGAAAGAUGAAAAGAACUUUGAAAAGAGAGUGAAAAGUACUUGAAAUCGUCCAGUGCUAAGGGUAUAGGAAACCUGUUAUCCAGCCCUCUGGGUUGGUCUUGAUCGGACAGGUUGGCUUCUCCCGGUGGUCCGCCGAGCAUUCCACUUCGGUGGCGUGUCAGUGAGGCCGAUACGGUGAGUGAGUCGACUGGUCGUUGCCUUCUUCGCUCGAGUGUUGCAGUGUGUGGCGAGUGUGCUGGAGCAUCCGCUUCUUCGGAGGUGGUUCUCACGUGCGCUUACCAUGUGCCACGAUGCUUGAAGCUCCGGAGGUUUCCGAUUUUGAAAUGAUCUUAUACCACCCGUCUUGAAACACGG
RNAcentral lists this ribosomal RNA (707 nucleotides) under uncultured fungus. RNAcentral describes it as "eukaryotic LSU rRNA". It matches the Rfam family "Eukaryotic large subunit ribosomal RNA", at positions 24 to 664 of the family's 3401-position model. The record is from RNAcentral. Lineage: Eukaryota; Fungi.